Molecule: small nuclear RNA, 136 nt
Organism: Rhipicephalus microplus (southern cattle tick)
Lineage: Eukaryota; Metazoa; Arthropoda; Arachnida; Ixodida; Ixodidae
Source: RefSeq, a predicted model, not a curated record
UACUUUGCGCAGAGGCGGUGUCGUACCCGAUGAAGUGAUAACUGAGGGGCGACUAUUGCUAGUUGAAAACUUUUUUUUACUUUCACUUCAUAAACUUCUCUUGAACCGAAUAGAGGUCUUCGAUACAGUCAAGUCU